RNAcentral lists this ribosomal RNA (425 nucleotides) under uncultured bacterium. RNAcentral describes it as "bacterial SSU rRNA". It matches the Rfam family "Bacterial small subunit ribosomal RNA", at positions 356 to 773 of the family's 1533-position model. The record is from RNAcentral.
GGGGAAUAUUGCACAAUGGGCGAAAGCCUGAUGCAGCAACGCCGCGUGUGUGAAGAAGGCCUUCGGGUUGUAAAGCACUUUCAGCGGGGAGGAAGGCAAUACGGUUGAUAACCGUGUUGAUUGACGUUACCCGCAGAAGAAGCACCGGCUAACUCCGUGCCAGCAACCGCGGUAAUACGGAGGGUGCAAGCGUUAAUCGGAAUUACUGGGCGUAAAGCGCACGCAGGCGGUCUGUCAAGUCGGAUGUGAAAUCCCCGGGCUCAACCUGGGAACUGCAUUCGAAACUGGCAGGCUUGAGUCUUGUAGAGGGGGGUAGAAUUCCAGGUGUAGCGGUGAAAUGCGUAGAGAUCUGGAGGAAUACCGGUGGCGAAGGCGGCCCCCUGGACAAAGACUGACGCUCAGGUGCGAAAGCGUGGGGAGCAAAC